CGACCCCAGGUCAAGCAGAAAUACCCGCUGAUUUUAAGCAUAUCAAUAAGCGGAGGAAAAGAAACUAACAAGGAUUCCCUUAGUAAUGGCAAUAGAACCGGGAAUAGCCCAACCCUAGAAUUAGGCAGCUCCGUCAUUCGAAUUGUAGUCUAGAGAAGCAUCCACAGUGGCGUACCAAGCCCAAGUACCCUAGAGAGGGCGCCAGAGAGUGUGAGAGCCCCUAUUGUGCCCAAAACCUUUCGGACUAUGAGGCAUUGUCUAAAAGAUGGGUUAUUUGGGAAUGCAACCCAAAUUGGGCAAAGAAUUUUGAUCAAGGCUAAAUACGGGUGAGAGACUGAUAGCGAAAAAGUAUCAUAAAGGAAAAAUGAAAAGGACUUUGAAAAGAGAGUCAAAGAGUGCUUGAAAUUAUCGGUAGAAAAGAGAAUGGGGGCCAUUGAUGUGCCCUGAUUGGUGUUGAAUAGAGAUGAGAUGGUCUGUGAUCGACUCGGGCAAUGGACCAAUGUGGAUUGGGGGGCGAUCAAAGCCCAGGCUCUCAAUAAACUUCUAUAAUUCCAUAUCCUCAAUUGUGGUAGGCAGCGAUGCACCUCUAGAGUGCUUUACCAUCUGCGUGUUCCAAACCCUAACCUGCGGGCUCCCCAUUCAAACCAAAGAGCCUGACAUGUGUGCGAGUCAACGGGCGAGUAAACCCAUAAGGCAUAAGGAAGCUAAUUGGUGGGAUCCUACUGAGGGGUGCAUAACCUACCAACCUUGAUCUUCUAAGAAGGGUUUGAGUGCGAGCAUACCUAUCGGGACUCAAAAUAUGGAGAACUGGGCCUAAUUGGGGUAACGCAAGAGGAAACUCUGGUGGACAUCCAUAGCGAUGAUGAUGUACAAAUUAUUCACCUGACUUGGGUAUAUAGGAUAAAGACUAAUCAAAAUAUAUAGUCAUUGGUUCCCUUCGAUAUUUACUUUAGGAUAGCUGUAACUCGCGUAUGAGUUCUAUUGGGUAACGCCAAUGAUUAGAGGCCUCGGGAGACGCCAUUCACCUAUUCUCAAACUUCAAAUCGGUAGGAUGUCAUGGUUGCUUUGUUGAGCCACACCACAAAAUGAAGUGCUCCAAGUGGGCCAUUUUUAGUAAGAUAAACUGGUGAUGAUAUAUGAACCAGAAUUUAGGUUACGAUGCCAAACUACGCGCUAACCUAGAUCCUACAAAGGGUGUUGGUCGAUUAAGAUAACAAGACAUUGGUCAUAAAAGUCAAAAUCUACUAAGGAGUGUGUAACAACUCACUUUCUAAAUCAACUAGCCCCAAAAAUGGAUUGCACUUAUGAUCGUUAGCUACACCAGGCCGUCUGGACAAGUGUCAGGCUCUGAAGAGUAGGAGUGCAAAGAGAUCGCUACAAAACCGUAGGCGUGAUCCUAGGCGUGAGUAGUCAUCAGUCCAGAUCUUAGUGGUAGUAUCAAAUAUUCAAAUGAUAACUUUAAAGGUCGAAGAGGGGAAAGUUUCCAUGUGAAUGGCACUUACACAUGGGUUAGUUGAUACUAGGAGUCGGGGAAACCCCAACAGAUAGCAUGUUUUAUGCAUACUUCAAAAGGGAAUCAGGUCUAAAUUCUUAAACUAGGAUGUGGCGGCUGACAGAAAUGUUAGAAAUUCCAGAGACAUUGGUGAUAGCCUUGGGAAGAGUUAUCUUUUUUGUUUAAUAGCCUGCUAACCCUAGAAUCAGCUCAUUCGGAGGUAGGGUCCAGCGGCUGGAAGAGCACCACACGUCAUGUGGUAUCUAGUGCACUCUUAGAGGCCCAUGAAAAUCCAAAGGAUCAAAUGACAUCCAUACCUAGUCAUACUCAUAAACUCAUCAGUCUCCAAGGUGAACAACCUCUGGUAGAUGGAAUAACACAGGAAAGGAAAGUCAAAAAAAUAGAUCUGUAACUUUGUGGAAAAAAUUACCUCUAAGGGAUGGGCAUGGGGGUCCCAGCCCCGAACUUGUUGGAUGUCAUUGGACUACUCGAUCUGCUCUUACGGUGAGAGUGGGUCACCACAUGCUAAUUGGGGGAAGAACUGGGAAUUAUUCCUUUGAAGGCCUUCCCUGUGCGUUGAACAACCUACUCAAAACCGGUACGGACAAGGGGAAUCUAACUAUUUAAUUAAAACAAAGCAUUGAGAUUGUCCUAAUAGAUGUUAACGCAAUGUCAUUUUUGCCCAGUGCUCUAAAUGUCAAGGUGAAGAAACUCAACCAAUCACGGGUAAAUGGUGGGAGUAACUAUAACUCUCUUAAGGUAUAAAACUACCUCAUUAUCUAAUGAGUGAUACGCAUGAAUAGAUUAAUGAUAUUCCCAUUGUCCCUGCCUACUAUCCAGUGAAACUACAGCCAAAGCAACGGGCUUGGCACAAUCAUUAGGGAAAGAAAACCCUGUUGAGCUUGACUCUAGUAUGACUUUGUUAAAUGACUUGAGAGGUGUAGUAUAUGUCGGAACCAAAAGGCGUUAAUGAAAUACCACUACUAUUAACGUUAUUUUACUUAUUUCUUGAAUCGAAAGCAGGGAACUGCCCUUCUUUUUAGCCCCAAGGCUCACUCUGCAGGCCAAUAUGGGCAAAAAAAAUUGUCAGGUAGGGAUUUUUGUAGGGGUGGUACAUUUGUUAAAAUAUUAUGUAGGUGUCCUAAGAUAAGCUUAACGAGAACAGAAAUCUCGUUUGGAAAAAAAGUGUAAAAGCUCAUUUGUUUUAGAUUUCCAGUACAAAUACGAACUGUGAAAGCAUGGCCUAACGAUCCUUUAAACCUUUGGAAUUCGAAUCUAGAAGUGUCAGAAAAGUUACUGGAGGGAUAACUGGCUUGUGGAAGCUAAGCAUUCAUAGCGACAUUGCUUUUUGAUCCUUUGAUAUCGGCUCUUCCUAUCAUAAUGAAACAAAAUUCACCUAGUAUUGGAUAUUUUACCCACUAAUAGGGAACGUGAGAUGGGUUUAGACCAUUGUGAAAUAGGUUAGUUUUACCUUACUGAUGACAGUGUUGCAAUAGUAAUUCAACCUAGUACUGGAGGAACCGUUGAUUCACAUAAUUGGUCAUUGCGCUUGGUUACAAAUCUAGUGGUGUAAAGUUACCAUAUGUUGGAUUAUGACUGAAUGUUUUUAAGUUAGAAUUUGGACUAAAAGUGAUGCAUGCACCCUCCGUCUGCUUGCCGACCCACAGUAGGGGCCUCGGCCCCCAAGGGCAUAUGUCUUUGGCUAAGCCAUUGCAGGAAAAGGGUCAAGGUGGCCACCUUUAAGUACUAUUUUCAUCGAGCAAUGGGUAGAAUCCAGUGUAGAUAGCUUAAAUAUGCGACGGAGUAUUGUAAAUGGCAGAGUGGCCUUGCUGUCAUGAUCCACUUAGAUUC
This 3343-nucleotide ribosomal RNA is filed under the name Capsicum baccatum. Its description in RNAcentral is "bacterial LSU rRNA". It matches the Rfam family "Eukaryotic large subunit ribosomal RNA". Lineage: Eukaryota; Viridiplantae; Streptophyta; Magnoliopsida; Solanales; Solanaceae. The record is from RNAcentral.